RNAcentral lists this long non-coding RNA (2948 nucleotides) under Salvia miltiorrhiza (redroot sage). Its description in RNAcentral is "long non-coding RNA (SMIL_LNC005920)". Lineage: Eukaryota; Viridiplantae; Streptophyta; Magnoliopsida; Lamiales; Lamiaceae. The record is from RNAcentral.
CCCCCCCCAUUCACACGCCUACUCUCUCUCUCUCUUACCUCUAUCUCUUUUCCCUUUCUACCACCAUGGAUAACCAUUCUCAAAGCUUCCAAGAUCAUUUCUAUACCAAGAAACUCCAUCAAAUCAAGUCUUAAACAUCUAUAUUCCUUGAAUCAAGAACUAGUUUGGAGGGAUUUUCAAGCUUGAAGCAAAAGAGAAGAUUUUUAUCCUUCCUUAAAUAAUUGAGUAAGUACUAGAUCUAUUUAGAUCUAAGCUUGAUUGAGUUAUAUAUGUGUAUAAAUGGUUUAGACCUAGCAAGAAAACAUCAUUUUCUAUUUUUUAGUAAUUUUUGAAAUUUAGGGGUUCUCCCCUUCAAAAUAUUUUUCUUAUUCUUUUCUUAAUUUGGCAUGAGAUCUAUGCUUAUUGAGGUGUUUUGAGAUGAUUUCUAUGUGUAUUGAGAGACUUUGCCAUGAGAUAUGAUUUUUCAUUUAGGUUAGUUUGUCUAAAAUAAGAAAUUCUUGUAUCUAUGGAUUAAAUGAUGAAUUGAUGAUGAAUAUGAGCUUAUGAGAUGACUAAUAUGAUAUUUGAUGGAGUAGAUUGAUGAUUGAAGUUGAUGGUCAAAUUUCGGUGAGAGGUAGUUUGAUGUGAUUUGGGUAAAACUUAUUCUAUGGUUUAAUUGAUUGUUUAUUUAUGCUUUUAAGUGUGCCAAUUUAAUAGAUCUAAGGCUGGAUUAAUGAUUUAUGCAUGUUUACAAAUUUUCAAAAAGUUUAGUUUGUUAAAAAUUGGGACUUUGUGAUCUAUGUGUUAAUUGAUUAAAUUGGCUAAGUUUAAUUGUUAUUAAGCAUGAUAGAAAUGAUAAUCAGGGAUCAAUUUGGUUAAUUGUCAAGAAUGCCUAAAAUUGGAUAAGUUUAGUUUACUAAUAAUUGGGAACUUUUGAUUAAUGAGAUAAAUACUUGAAUUGAUGGUGUUUAUAUGUUAGUUAGACUACUAGCAAGGAGAAAGCAUGAUUAAUUUGGUUAAUGAUGUUGAUUUGUGAAAAUUUCCCUAGUUUAGUUUGCGUGCAUACAUGAGACCUUAUAUAUAAGAUGAGUUAUGAGUCGAGCAUGUUUAUGUAUGGCUAUUUGAUGAUUAAUUGAGCUUAUAUAUGCGAUAUGUGACGAAACGGACCAACCCCUAAUGACUUAUGUGUUGGCCGAAUGUAAGGAGUAAAAGAGAAAGUCGAUGUUUGAAUUUUCUUGAGUUAUAUGAUUAUGUAUUUAUGUUAUUGUGUAUUAUGUGAGCUUAAUUUGAAUUUUUGAGAAUUUUGCAUCGAAGAAGUCCGGAGUCUAAGCAUAAUUGCUUGUAUGUUCAAGUUUGGAGUCAUUUUAUGACCUUUUCUACCUACUGUUUCGUUGGGUUAUUGAUACCCAAAGACCUUGAAAAUUUAUGGUAAGAUUAUAUGAGAGUCUUGAGCAUACCGGUAAAAUUUCAAGUCAAUUGGACUUCGUUUACUAUUUUUAUAAAAUGCAAAACUAAAACUGCUACUUUCUGCCGAAAUGUUCGGUGAGUAGCCAAUAGAGUCACCUUUUCCAGUAUCUUUCCCUAACGUUCUGGAGCCCAAAUUUUUAUUGUUAAUACAUGAGUGUCUUAUCUAAGUACCCACCAAAUUUCAAGCCUUUUCGGCAACGUUUACUAUUUUUCAAAUCAAGGUUUUCAAUUGCUCAAACUGCCGAAUAUGGUAGACUGUAGGAAACAGUCAUAUCUCCUAAACUACUUGGAGUUUUUCAUCCUACUUUUUUUUUUAAAUGAAACUAGACUCAAAGAGGUUUCAAUUGGUAUAGGUCACGACUCCAGUGGAGUUCUGUACCGAGUCUGGUGAAGUCUUUAAAUUGAGUCAGUGCAGAAUGAUGUUUGUUUGUGACAUGUCUAUGUGUGAAUUUAUAUGCUUAUGUGAUUAUGCUUGUUUAUGUGCUUGAUUGCUAUGAGUUUAACCCGAGUUGAGUGUUAAGUCGAGAGUAGGACUUGUGAAUCCUUAGGAGUUAAGUAUACCUAGGGAUUGAGAUUUAUUUGGGUAAAUAGAAGAUGAGUGAUAAGUUAUAUCUUGAGACGAGAUUGGAUUUUAGUAAAUGAGUUUCUAACUGAGGUUUAUCUUAUCUCAUGAACCACUCACGUUGUGACAUCUGAAGAUACGAGCAGAGGACGGAGGUAAUAUCGCCCAAGUAUUACGAGAGUAAGCUAAGUUUGUCAGGUGGGCAUUAUUUUGAGUAUACAUAUUAUACGAGCUUUCUUAAAUGAUAUGAUACUUAUGAUUAUGAAUUGAGUUAAUGUUAUGCUUGAAACUAAUUGACUUGCCGAGUUUUGUUAAUAAUGACUUGUGUGUUACCCUCUACUGAUGAGACGAAUUCGGUCCUGCCACAAGCGGGAUUUUGUGCACAGAGGUGACUGUGAGCCGUCUAUCGGGUCGGCCGGUCACGGUACUUGAGAGGGAGGCCUACUUCUCAGUACCUUUGAUGAUGAGUAGUGGAUGUGGUACAUACUUAAUGAAUAUUUAAACUGCGCAGUUACUUUAUUAUGAUGUUAUGAAUUGCGAAAUUGCAUGCACAGGUUCUUCUCUAACUAAAACCCCUGUGUGUGCUUAAUGUGGCAAGUUCAAUUUAUAGCUCUAAGAGCAAGCUUUCAUUUGUUUUUCGGCAUAUGUCCACUGAGUACUUUGUACUCAGCCCUGCAUGUAUUUCUAAAUGUGCAGGAUAAGCGAGGAUGGAGAAUGGUCUGGUGUUGGCGAGGAUUUUGUUCCGAUGUUAUCCUUUUAUCGUAUUUAUAUUACAUACGGUAGCUUUUUGAUGUCGAUGUUUAUAUUUUGGACUUAGUCAAGAAGUAUACUCUCGGCUAUAUGUCUUCAUACAUAUAGUCUGUAUACGUUUUGCUGCGAGACUCUGUAAAUUAUAAACCUUUGUAAAUUUUUAACUAUGUCUACUUUGUAAACUUUGUCG